Molecule: long non-coding RNA, 614 nt
Organism: Gasterosteus aculeatus aculeatus (three-spined stickleback)
Lineage: Eukaryota; Metazoa; Chordata; Actinopteri; Perciformes; Gasterosteidae
Source: Ensembl
UUACAUUACCCACGAUAGUUACCACAAUGGUUACCACAUAGUUACCACAGUUACCACGUAGUUACAUUACCACGAUAGUUACGAUAGUCACCACGUAGUUACCACGAUAGUUGCGACGUAGUUACCACGUAGUUACCACAUUACCACGAUAGUUACGAUAGUCACCACGUAGUUACCACGAUAGUUGCGACGUAGUUACCACGUAGUUACCACAUUACCACGAUAGUUACGAUAGUUACCACGAUAGUUACCACGUACUUACCACAUUACAACGAUAGUUACGAUAGUUACCACAUAGUUACCACGAUACAUACAAUACAGAAUCACAAGACUAAUUGUAACAUGGAAGAUACCUGGGUGUGAAAGUUUAUUGUUGACCUUUUGAAAAUGAAAAAAAGAAGCUUUAAGCUACCAGCUUUACAGGCCCAACACAUCCAGUUGAUGAAGGAUCUUUUAAAGAGUUCAUCAAUUAGUGUUGGCGGAUAUCUUCAAGCUACAAAUCACCUUUUUGAAGUUUCAAGUUGACAUAUUUCGAAUGCAGUGGAAUCAUGGGAGCAAAAAGAGUGAGUUAAAGUAUAUCCGGCCCUCAGACUGCAGUCGGGUUUUCAUCAGAA